GCAGGGGCUAAGAGGUGUGGCUCUUGUUUAGGGCUUUGAAGGCCCUCGGUUUGGUUUAUCCUAAUCCCCUA
This 71-nucleotide transfer RNA is filed under the name Ctenophorus adelaidensis (Western heath dragon). Its description in RNAcentral is "tRNA-Trp". Lineage: Eukaryota; Metazoa; Chordata; Lepidosauria; Squamata; Agamidae. The record is from RNAcentral.